This 249-nucleotide ribosomal RNA is filed under the name uncultured Actinomycetes bacterium. RNAcentral describes it as "uncultured actinobacterium partial 16S ribosomal RNA". It matches the Rfam family "Bacterial small subunit ribosomal RNA", at positions 28 to 276 of the family's 1533-position model. Lineage: Bacteria; Bacillati; Actinomycetota; Actinomycetes. The record is from RNAcentral.
GACGAACGCUGGCGGCGCGCCUAACACAUGCAAGUCGAGGGAGAACCGACCUUCGGGUCGGGGAGACCGGCGAACGGGUGAGUAACACGUGAGGAACCUGCCCUGUAGACCGGAAUAAACCAUGGGAAACUGUGGCUAAUGCCGGAUGGUCUCGGAUGACCGCAUGGACGUCCGAGGAAAUGGUCUGCCGCUACAGGAUGGCCUCGCGGCCUAUCGGCUAGUUGGUGAGGUAACGGCUCACCAAGGCGA